GACGAACGCUGGCGGCGUGCUUAACACAUGCAAGUCGAACGGAAAGGCCCUGCUUUUGUGGGGUGCUCGAGUGGCGAACGGGUGAGUAACACGUGAGUAACCUGCCCUUGACUUUGGGAUAACUUCAGGAAACUGGGGCUAAUACCGGAUAGGAGCUCCUGCUGCAUGGUGGGGGUUGGAAAGUUUCGGCGGUUGGGGAUGGACUCGCGGCUUAUCAGCUUGUUGGUGGGGUAGUGGCUUACCAAGGCUUUGACGGGUAGCCGGCCUGAGAGGGUGACCGGCCACAUUGGGACUGAGAUACGGCCCAGGCUCCUACGGGAGGCAGCAGUGGGGAAUAUUGCACAAUGGGCGGAAGCCUGAUGCAGCAACGCCGCGUGCGGGAUGACGGCCUUCGGGUUGUAAACCGCUUUCGCCUGUGACGAAGCGUGAGUGACGGUAAUGGGUAAAGAAGCACCGGCUAACUACGUGCCAGCAGCCGCGGUGAUACGUAGGGUGCGAGCGUUGUCCGGAUUUAUUGGGCGUAAAGGGCUCGUAGGUGGUUGAUCGCGUCGGAAGUGUAAUCUUGGGGCUUAACCCUGAGCGUGCUUUCGAUACGGGUUGACUUGAGGAAGGUAGGGGAGAAUGGAAUUCCUGGUGGAGCGGUGGAAUGCGCAGAUAUCAGGAGGAACACCAGUGGCGAAGGCGGUUCUCUGGGCCUUUCCUGACGCUGAGGAGCGAAAGCGUGGGGAGCGAACAGGCUUAGAUACCCUGGCAGUCCACGCUGUAAACGGUGGGUACUAGGUGUGGGGUCCAUUCCACGGGUUCCGUGCCGUAGCUAACGCUUUAAGUACCCCGCCUGGGGAGUACGGCCGCAAGGCUAAAACUCAAAGGAAUUGACGGGGCCCCGCACAAGCGGCGGAGCAUGCGGAUUAAUUCGAUGCAACGCGUAGAACCUUACCUGGGUUUGACAUGGAUCGGGAGUGCUCAGAGAUGGGUGUGCCUCUUUUGGGGUCGGUUCACAGGUGGUGCAUGGCUGUCGUCAGCUCGUGUCGUGAGAUGUUGGGUUAAGUCCCGCAACGAGCGCAACCCUUGUUCACUGUUGCCAGCACGUUAUGGUGGGGACUCAGUGGAGACCGCCGGGGUCAACUCGGAGGAAGGUGGGGAUGACGUCAAGUCAUCAUGCCCCUUAUGUCCAGGGCUUCACGCAUGCUACAAUGGCUGGUACAGAGAGUGGCGAGCCUGUGAGGGUGAGCGAAUCUCGGAAAGCCGGUCUCAGUUCGGAUUGGGGUCUGCAACUCGACCUCAUGAAGUCGGAGUCGCUAGUAAUCGCAGAUCAGCAACGCUGCGGUGAAUACGUUCCCGGG
RNAcentral lists this ribosomal RNA (1343 nucleotides) under uncultured bacterium. RNAcentral's name for it is "16S ribosomal RNA". It matches the Rfam family "Bacterial small subunit ribosomal RNA", at positions 28 to 1378 of the family's 1533-position model. The record is from RNAcentral.